GUGAGUCAUCGAAUCUUUGAACGCAUCUUGCGCUCUCUGGUAUUCCGGAGAGCAUGCCUGUUUGAGUGUCAUGAACUCUUCAGCCACCAGUUUGUGUGGCUUGGAUUCUGGACGGUGCGUGUGCCCCAGCCGCGCUCCGUUUGUAAUACAUUAGUCAUUUCUAAUUCGGCCCGGUACUGACUCAGUGUAAUAGACUAUAUCGCUGAGGACAUUGCCUGCAAUGGCCGGGCCAGAUUACUAGUCCAAUGCUCCAAACACCCAGUCACCUACCAUUUCAGACCUCAGAUCAGGCAGGAUUACCCGUCUGAACUUAAGCAUAUCAAUAAGCGGAGG
RNAcentral lists this ribosomal RNA (333 nucleotides) under uncultured fungus. Its description in RNAcentral is "eukaryotic LSU rRNA". The stretch from base 1 to 71 matches the Rfam family "5.8S ribosomal RNA", at positions 84 to 154 of the family's 154-position model. Lineage: Eukaryota; Fungi. The record is from RNAcentral.